RNAcentral lists this long non-coding RNA (1940 nucleotides) under Felis catus (domestic cat). Its description in RNAcentral is "lncRNA (ENSFCAG00000047416.1)". Lineage: Eukaryota; Metazoa; Chordata; Mammalia; Carnivora; Felidae. The record is from RNAcentral.
GGUGAAUAGCAAAGUUGCUACAAGUUGCUUGCUAGCCUCUCCGGGGGAGUAACUGAAUCUUGUUUAAUUUUGUUUCCUUAGCUUCAGGAAAGGAAUUCACAUAAAGUAGACACCUAAGGAAAUGAGCAUUGGAGUGACACUCAAAGGACCCCGAGACAGGGAGACGUGGAAAACAGAUGGGCAUUUGGGGGUGAAAGAAGCCGAAAAAUCGUUGCUGGCAGUGCUGUUCCUGGAAGGGAGACGAAGGCGGGAAGACACAUUUGGGUUACAGGAAGAGGCGGCCCCUCAUGCAGCAUCUUUAGUCUAUAAGGGCCCAGGGCUCUGCACGGAGAGCACUAAUUGGAUUUCAUUAAAGCGAAAUAGAUUUCCUCGCACUGGAAGAGCCAGUUCAUUAAUUUCACACAUGCUCUACUGGAGGAAGGCAUGGGGAAGGGCAGCCAGCCCCAGUCUCCCCAGGCUAAGAUCAGAGCUGGGAGCCCGCUGCAGUUUGGUGCAGAGCCUGGAGUCUGAGCGCCUGCUCCAUGCCAGUGCCUGGGCUGGCCAUCGGGGGUGCAGUGAUGAACCAGAUACAACCACCACCUCCGGUAACUCGGUCUUGGAGGAGGCAGGCACACAAGGCAGGGCGUGCACAGUGACAGGGUGCUGGACCAGGGUAAGCAACAUAGAAUGUCUGACCCGUGCUGCUGGGGGUCCUGGGGGUAGGGUGGAGGUAAAGAGCAGAGAAGGGAGAAGUUGGCCCAGCUGCCCUAAGGCUCACGGGGCCAUGGUUUGCACGAAGGUUUUCAUGCCCAGAGUGGGCAACACCAAGGGAGGAGAGAAGCAGGGAUGCUGGGGUUCAUCUAAAAUUCUUCGAAAAUAUUCACUGAACACUCAUGGUGUGUCAGGUGUGUUCCAGGUACUGGACAUCCCGUGGAGCAGACCGACCCGGUGCUGGAGCUGAGAAGAGUGGUCUGGGCCGGAAUUUUAAAUUGGGGACAUUUGAACAUAUAAAAAGGUGGUCAAUGCCCCGGUCCGGAUGACGUCACCAGGGGAGAGAGUAGGAGGGGCCGGGUCAUCUUAGUUCUUUCUUCCUCUCAGAGCAAGGAUUCCUUCCACGCCUUCCACUGACAGGUGGCUCCCCAGUCCCUGCUUGCAUGCCCCAAUGACAGGGAGCUCACUACCAGCCAAGCCAGUCCUGCCUGCUUUUGGAAGUCCUGGCUGUUAGUUAAAUUCUUUUGUAUGCGGGCCAAAGUCUCCCUUCCCUUUUGAUUUUACUCCUUUGUUCUGAUUCCAUCUUCUGGAGACCCGGCCCGUCCAGUCGGCUCCCUCUUUGCCAUGAUCUGCUAGAACCCACAGAUGUGGUUCGCCACACCUUCCUUCUUCUCCGAUAGUGGGGCCCUGGGUUUCUUCUGAGGGUACCGCACCGUCCCCACUGCCGUCUCCCCUCCCAGGAAGCGACAAAGUCUUGUUUUAACGUCUGAACCGUGGCCUUAGAGACCAGAAGAAGAGGGGACACUUAAAACUAAGAGACUUCCCUUCUGUGUCUUUCUUAAACACACCCGGUUCCUUCUGCCACUCUUAGCUGCCUCAGUGGCUACCCCAGAUAUUUUUGUCUCUGGGUUGGGGUCUUCACGCUGGAGUUAUUUUAAAAAAUUUGCUUAUUUUUGAGAAGGAGAGGAGAGAGAGAAUGAGUGAGGGAGGGACAAAGAGAGAGGGAGACGCAGAAUCCGAAGCAGGCUCCAGGCUCCGAGCUGUCAGCACAGAGCCCACAGGGGGCGCGAACUCACAAACUGUGAGAUCAUGACCUGAGCCGAAGUCGGACGCUGAGCCACCCAGGCGCCCCUUACACAAACUCUUUAUAACAACAUUGGACCCAGCAGGACUUCCCUCUUUGAGCGGAUGCUUUGGCAGUCUGAGUUGCUUGUCUGCUCUCAACCUUCCCUCAGUGUGAUGUAGCAACU